RNAcentral lists this ribosomal RNA (347 nucleotides) under uncultured bacterium. Its description in RNAcentral is "partial 16S ribosomal RNA". It matches the Rfam family "Bacterial small subunit ribosomal RNA", at positions 338 to 696 of the family's 1533-position model. The record is from RNAcentral.
CCUACGGGUGGCAGCAGUCGAGAAUCAUUCACAAUGGGGGAAACCCUGAUGGUGCGACGCCGCGUGGGGGAAUGAAGGUCUUCGGAUUUUAAACCCCUGUCAUGUGGGAGCAAAUUAACAAUAUAUUACCACAAGACGAAGAGACGGCGAACUCUGUGCCAGCCGCCGCGGUAAUACAGAGGUCUCACGCUGUGUUCGGAAUCACUGGGCGUAAAGCGUGCGUAGGCUGUUUCGUAAGUCGUGUGUGAAAGGCGCGGGCUCAACCCGGGGCCGGCACAGGAUACGGGGAGACUAGAGUGAAGGAGGGGGAAGCGGAAUUCGUGGUGUAGCAGUGAAAUGCGUAGAUA